Molecule: long non-coding RNA, 245 nt
Organism: Oreochromis niloticus (Nile tilapia)
Lineage: Eukaryota; Metazoa; Chordata; Actinopteri; Cichliformes; Cichlidae
Exons: 3
Source: RefSeq, a predicted model, not a curated record
AUUUUAUCCGACCAAGGAAGAGAAUUUGUUAACGAGCUCAACUCAAGACUUUGCAGCUUAAUGAAAAUAGAUACGCUGCUGUGACACUCCUAUCACCCACAGACAAAUGGCCUCAACGAAAAGACAAAUGACAACAUAAAAAGAGCCCUGAGAAAAUUAGUCAACAGUCAACAGAAUGACUGGGAUGUGUAUCUGGAUGCUACACUGUUAUCUUUGAGCUCUAAGGUCCACACCACAACCAAAUA